Molecule: small RNA, 102 nt
Filed under: bovine gut metagenome
Description: RT-5 RNA
Rfam family: RT-5 RNA
About the family: Clostridium (Firmicutes).
Source: RNAcentral
AGCGCCUGCGGCGGAUCAGGCACAGAGGACCGAACCAUGACUUCGCAGGCAGCCCUUCUGUGUACGGUCUUGUAAAACCCAUAAUUUAUUGGGAUUUAACUC